This is a long non-coding RNA of Pseudophryne corroboree (corroboree frog), 1008 nucleotides long. RefSeq lists it as uncharacterized. Lineage: Eukaryota; Metazoa; Chordata; Amphibia; Anura; Myobatrachidae. The transcript has 4 exons. The record is from RefSeq and is a predicted model, not a curated record.
ACAUUAUCACGGGGUCCGUCGAGAACACGGACUGGGAACCCUGUGAUCGGGCAGGCGGACUUUAUUCAUUGGGGGACAGUGAUGCAUGCUGGGAAAGGAUUACCGGAAGUUACCAGCCGUAGUAACAUUAGGACGGGACUGUUACUCUAUGUAUCCUUAAUCCGGACGGGAUGGGAUGUAUACAUAUGGAAACCAUUGUGGAUCGGAUCAUCAGUGAUUUCAGGACGGAGAUUGAAUGUUACCUAUUAAUGUUUAUAUUGAUUUUAUUUGUUCAAUUUGUUUUAAAUCUCUUAUAUCUUGUUAAAUACAAUGUAUAUCCAUUUAUGGGAAUCCAGUAAUAUAUAAAUGGAAUAUCAAGAUUAGGUUUUUGAUGCAUAUUAGUGCUGUGACUGUCUGAUUGGCUUAGGAAAUGAUAGGAAGUGCUCAGUGGGGUUUAAAAGGCCGACUGGGUUAAUCCUGCAAUAUGCCCUGAGGAAGGAUUUUUAUCCGAAACGCGUUGGUACCAGUUUCUUUUAGCCCCCGGUGGUAAGGUUUUUUCUCUACAUCUAUCCCCUUUUUUACUAAGGACCGAAGUUUGGAGCAUAUUCCAUAUUUCAUUUUUUCUUGGUAGUAACUGUUCCCAUCGGUUUCCUAGGGGAUUAUAGGAGGAUCAACCCAGGCUGCCUAUUUGGGGUAUUUUUAUGUUGUUUUUAUAUUGUAUGUCAAUUUUUGGAAUAAAUCUUUGAUACCCUUUUUUGGACUCACGACAUUUGCUUAUUGGAAUGGAGUGCCAUGAUUAAGGACGUGACCAACAUAUAGUGGACGCCCGGUGAAGGAGACAGUCAAAGAAAACUAUUACGGAACAUAGGGCUAUGCCCCAAGAUGAAUGGCUUCCUGUUCUCUGCAAUUGUAGCCCAGCACCAAACAGGGGAAAGUCAACACUGGCCCCCAUUGACUAUUGCUGUCAUGGGAGAGCCUGGGGAGCUUCCUCUCAGCGGAGCUGUGGAGAAAAAAUGGCGCAGGUGAGUG